GUCUCGCUGAGUUGCUUAGAGCCUCAUCAUUGCUGAGGCUGGCUGUGAACUUUCAAUCCUUCUGUGCCUCCCAAGACGCUGGGAUUAUAGGUGUUACAGGGUGGGACAGGGAGAAGAUGUGAGACUCUGUGCUGCAGAUGGAGGCAAUUUACACAAUUUGGAGCAAGGGGCAAACUUGCCUGUAAACAUGGUGUCUUGGAGGUCCCUAUAGCUCAUGAGCAUCAAGAGUGCACUAGGGUGAGGUUGUAGUCAUCUGGGGCAACCAUUCUGACACGAGAGAGGGCCAUACUAUUCAAACACUGUUGGACAACACCGAGACUCAGAAGACUCAAGACAAAGUAAAAGCUGGUGCCGUAGUUUGGAUCUGGAAAGUUUCCCACAAAGACACAUGUGUUAAAAGCUUGGUUCCCAGUCCUUGGUGCUAUUGGAAGGUAAUGUAACUUUUAAGAGGUGAUGUCUAAUGGGAACACAUCCUGACAAGAUGUGUUGCUCCACCACAGGCCCAGAGAAGCAAUGUGGCCAGCCAAAUGUGGACUGAAACCUACAAAACUGUGAGCCAAAGAAAAUUUUACUCUUUUUAAGUUGAUUAGCUCAGAUUGUUACAGAAACAAAAGCUGACUAUCAUAGCUGGUCUGACUUGAAAAAUAGCCUGAACUUUGAAUAUGCUCCUCUAUCCACCCAUUGGCAGAGGAUGGAAGUCUUACUGGCUCAUUGUUUGAGCACAAUCAUCUGACUACUAAACUAUGCUGACACAGGCAAUUUCUAAGAAACUGCACAUAAAAAUAAAUAUUAAAAUACAUUCAAGGAGGGGCUGGGGCUGUGGCUUAGUGGCAGAGCACUUGCCUAGCAAGGAUGAGGGAGGCCCUGGGCUCGAUCCUCAGCACCACAUAAAAAUAAAUAAACAAAACACAGAUAUUGUGUCCAUCUAUAACUAAAAAAAAAAUACAUUCAAGGAAAGCCAUUUAAAGAAUUAAAGGAGAAGUAUGACAACUAUGAGUCAAGAGAUUCUCAGUAAGAAGAGAAAUUAUUAUUAUUGUCAUUAUUAUUUUGUGGAACUGGGGAAUGAAUCCAGAGCUUUAUGUAUGCUAGAUAAACAUUCUACAAAGCCCAUUUUUAAAAUUUUGAGGCAAGUUCUCACUAACUUGCCUGGGCAGGCCUUGAACUUGUGAAUUUGUGAUUUCUGCCCAGCCAGAAUCUAUUUUUUUAAGCAACAACAAACGAACUCAGAAAUUAAAGAGCUGGAGUUGAAAAAUAUAAACUUUAAAAUAAGCCAGGCACAGUGCUACACAUCUAUAAUCCCAGUGACUUGGGAGGCUGAGGCAUGAGGAUCACAGCUUUGAGGGCAGCCUUGGCAACUUGCAAGGCCCUACAUCAAAAUCAAAAUAAAAAGGAUGGGAGAUGGAGCUUAGUGGUAAAUGUCCAUAGGUUCAAUCCCUCUUCACAAACAACAAUAAAAACUGGAGAGAAAUUUUUUUAAUACAUUUCAAGAACCUUAAAAAUAUUCUCACAUGUUCUAUCUACCUACUCCAUUUCUUGGUUUUAUCAAAAGAAUCAGAAUAGCAAUGUUUUCUACACAUUUAUAUAGAGUUACAAACGAGCUAAACAUAUACUACGGGCUGGGGCUGUAGCUCAGCGGCAGAGCGCUUGCCUAGAAUGCAUGAGGCACUGGGUUCGAUCCUCAGCACCACAUAAAAAUAAAUAAAAUAAAGGCAUUCUGUCCAUCUACAUCUACAAAAAAGAAAAAAAUUUAAAAAAAAAUUAAAAUAAACAUAUACUAACAGGAGGUGGUUAAAUAAAACAUGACAUUUCCACAUGGUUGAAAACAGUGUACAAUAAGAGACUAAAUUUAAAGUAUCAAGACGAUUUUACACCUUGAAAGUGUGAAAAGAAUAAUUUUGUAAAUAAAUACUUUAGAAUUAAUUUUCAAGAAAGUGACAAUUAAUUUACACAGAUCCAUCCUAUCCUUCAAUAUAACUACUUACAUUCCAAUAAAAUGAUUUUACAAACAAAAUAACAAAUAAAAACUUAGCAAAUAAAAUAAUUAAAACUCAGGAAGAGGGGCUACAGUUGUGGCUCAGCAGCAGAGUGCUCACCUAACAUGGGUGAGGCUCUGGGUUUGAUUCUCAGCACCAUAUAAAAAUAAAGAUAUUAUGUUCAACUAAAAAAAAAAAAAAGAACCACUCAGGAAGAAAAUGACACUGAACAUUCUUUGAACAGUAAUAAAUUAUAUUAAAAAACAAAUUGUCGAAGAAGAUCAAUACCUUGUUUCCCAAGGCCGUGCAGUAAAGGCAUAGGGCUUAGAGGUUAGGGCACCUACAGGGCAGAUAUCAAUAAUAUUCCCAGAUAAUUCAGACAUGAACAUUUUUUCAACAUAUGUGCCAACUUGCAUAUCAUUUCCUCUGCCUGUUGUUCCUAGAUCAUCUACUCCUGCAAUCUCACUUGCAAACCUAUAAGAUAAAAAUAUGCUGUCAAAUGGUUGAGUCCAGAAAUUUUUUUCCUGUUAAUGGUCACAAAGAAUAUGAUAUUCAAAACACUAAAAAGCCAUGAGUAUAUUUUCAGUGGUGAGCACAGUCCUUGAAUAAAGACAAUUCAAUAAAUAUUUGCAUUUAAUUGAGAUACAAUAUGCAAACAGAAAACUGUACAAAUCCUAGGCAGACAGCUCAACAAGUUAUCAUAGGAUAAAUACUUGUAGGGUUUAAUUUUUAUUUAACUUUUUUAGUUUGUUUUUCUUGUAGUACUAGGGAUUGAACUCAGGGGCACUCUACAUUGAGUUAUAUCCCGAGUCUUUUUUUUUUUUUUUAACUUUUUGAGACAGGGUUUUGCCAAGUUGUUCAUGCUGGCCUCAAAUUUGUGAUCCUCCUGCCUCAGUCUUUCAAGUGGCUAGAAUUACAGG
Long non-coding RNA from Marmota monax (woodchuck), 2893 nucleotides. RefSeq lists it as uncharacterized. The record is from RefSeq and is a predicted model, not a curated record. The transcript has 2 exons. Lineage: Eukaryota; Metazoa; Chordata; Mammalia; Rodentia; Sciuridae.